GGGAAAUCGGGAGGGUAAAAGGGAAACCGGUGCAAAUCCGAUACGAUCUCGUCACUGUGAUGGAAGAGCACGCUGCAAAUGCAUUUGAGAAGCUGUCUUCACAAGACACAUUCUGAGAAUGCGGUCACUGUUUGCGAAUCAAACGGGAAGGCUGCGGCGCUGCGGGGAGUCCUGAGUCAGGAAACCUGCCGUCUUUGG
This 198-nucleotide non-coding RNA is filed under the name uncultured Ruminococcus sp. Lineage: Bacteria; Bacillati; Bacillota; Clostridia; Eubacteriales; Oscillospiraceae. The record is from RNAcentral.